AGGCAGCAGUAAGGAAUAUUGGUCAAUGGACGCAAGUCUGAACCAGCUAUGCCGCGUGAAGGAUUAAGGNCCUAUGGGUUGUAAACUNCUUUUAUCUGGGACGAAAAAAGGNNUNUNNAGGNNNCUUGACGGUACCANAUGAAUAAGCACCGGCUAACUCCGUGCCAGCAGCCGCGGUAAUACGGAGGGUGCAAGCGUUAUCCGGAUUCACUGGGUUUAAAGGGUGCGUAGGCGGGCAGGUAAGUCAGUGGUGAAAUCCUGGAGCUCAACUCCAGAACUGCCAUUGAUACUNUCUGUCUUGAAUAUUGUGGAGGUAANNGGAAUAUGUCAUGUAGCGGUGAAAUGCUUAGAUAUGACAUAGAACACCCAUUGCGAAGGCAGNUUACUACGCAUAUAUUGACGCUGAGGCACGAAAGCGUGGGGAUCAAACAGGAUUAGAUACCCUGGUAGUCCACGCCCUAAACGAUGNAUACUCGACAUACGCGAUACACUGUGNGUGUCUGAGCGAAAGCAUUAAGUAUCCCACCUGGGAAGUACGUUCGCAAGAAUGAAAC
Molecule: ribosomal RNA, 554 nt
Filed under: uncultured Bacteroidota bacterium
Lineage: Bacteria; Pseudomonadati; Bacteroidota
Description: uncultured Bacteroidetes bacterium partial 16S ribosomal RNA
Rfam family: Bacterial small subunit ribosomal RNA
Source: RNAcentral